Molecule: microRNA, 22 nt
Filed under: Bos taurus (domestic cattle)
Lineage: Eukaryota; Metazoa; Chordata; Mammalia; Artiodactyla; Bovidae
Description: bta-miR-1584-3p
Source: miRBase by way of RNAcentral
CUCUCUCCGCAGACCUCAGCCG